Molecule: ribosomal RNA, 427 nt
Filed under: uncultured bacterium
Lineage: Bacteria
Description: partial 16S ribosomal RNA
Rfam family: Bacterial small subunit ribosomal RNA
Source: RNAcentral
UGGGGAAUAUUGCACAAUGGGCGCAAGCCUGAUGCAGCCAUGCCGCGUGUAUGAAGAAGGCCUUCGGGUUGUAAAGUACUUUCAGCGGGGAGGAAGGCGAUAAGGUUAAUAACCUUGUCGAUUGACGUUACCCGCAGAAGAAGCACCGGCUAACUCCGUGCCAGCAGCCGCGGUAAUACGGAGGGGGCAAGCGUUAAUCGGAAUUACUGGGCGUAAAGCGCACGCAGGCGGUCUGUCAAGUCGGAUGUGAAAUCCCCGGGCUCAACCUGGGAACUGCAUUCGAAACUGGCAGGCUAGAGUCUUGUAGAGGGGGGUAGAAUUCCAGGUGUAGCGGUGAAAUGCGUAGAGAUCUGGAGGAACACCGGUGGCGAAGGCGGCCCCCUGGACAAAGACUGACGCUCAGGUGCGAAAGCGUGGGGAGCAAACA